UUCGCGCGCGCUGCUGUGCUGAGCGCGAGGCGCGACCGCAGGGCUUUUCCAGUCAGCGCUGUGGCGGGCUGUGUGGCUGUGUGGUACCGGGCUCUGAGCCCCCCUACCUAUUGCUGCUGUGCGCUGUAGUUACCCUACAGUGAGACAGAAGUAUUUGCAAGAUCAUCCCUUGCACAGUUCUACUCCAGCAUUGCCCAUAGCACAGCCCAGCAGCACGAACUACAAGCGAAUAAUGCCAGUUAAUCGCUCUAGAAGCUUUUUGUCUCCUUCCCUGGUUAUUUAUGACUAAGUAAUUACAGACUGGCUCUCUAGGAGGCUUGGGGUGGAUGGAUUUGGGCUGCUGCUUCCAAUCUGCUCCUUGUGUUUGAGCAGCUUCACAGUUGACGUAGCAACGAAUGCAUCACCCUGGUCUUUGCUUCAGGGCUGAAGAGAACGUGCUUUGAAACAUGCAUGUCUGCUGUCCUCAGGAAGCUGUACAGCAUCUCUCUGUCAGGUUUUGUUUUUAAGUUUUUGUCAGGGUGCAUUGCCUGCUAGCUGUACAAUAAUGACCUGCUACAAUUCUGUCUGCAUGAUUUUCUCUUGAGGUUAUUCCUCAGUCUCUCCUGAAGACAAUCACAGCAUCUGAUAUCCAGUCAGCUAUACAUAAUUGUAGAUUUUCCAUGGUGUAUGGGAGCUACUGAGUCACGGCCUGAACCUCUGACUGAUCACCGGAGGCGAGCCAUGAGUCAGCCAGAG
Long non-coding RNA from Centrocercus urophasianus (Greater sage-grouse), 735 nucleotides. RefSeq lists it as uncharacterized. The transcript has 4 exons. Lineage: Eukaryota; Metazoa; Chordata; Aves; Galliformes; Phasianidae. The record is from RefSeq and is a predicted model, not a curated record.